Molecule: ribosomal RNA, 562 nt
Filed under: uncultured archaeon
Lineage: Archaea
Description: bacterial SSU rRNA
Rfam family: Archaeal small subunit ribosomal RNA
Source: RNAcentral
UACUGCUAUCAGUGUUCGAUUAAGCCAUGCGAGUUAAAUGUUCUUCGUGAACAUGGCGUACUGCUCAGUAACACGUGGAUAACCUGCCCUAAGGUCCGGCAUAACCCCGGGAAACUGGGGAUAAUACCGGAUAAACCAUAGAUACUGGAAUGUUCUGUGGUUNAAAGUUCCGGCGCCUUAGGAUGGAUCUGCGGCCUAUCAGGUAGUAGUGGGUGUAAAGUACCUACUAGCCGACGACGGGUACGGGUUGUGAGAGCAAGAGCCCGGAGAUGGAUUCUGAGACAUGAAUCCAGGCCCUACGGGGCGCAGCAGGCGCGAAAUCUUUACAAUGCGGGAAACCGCGAUAAGGGGACACUGAGUGCCAGCAUAUUAUGUUGGCUGUCCACCUGUAUAAAUCACAGGUGUUAGCAAGGGCCGGGCAAGACCGGUGCCAGCCGCCGCGGUAACACCGGCGGCCCGAGUGGUAGCCACUAUUAUUGGGUCUAAAGGGUCCGUAGCCGGUUUGAUCAGUCUUCCGGGAAAUCUGACAGCUCAACUGUUAGGCUUCCGGGGGAUACUGUCA